RNAcentral lists this ribosomal RNA (253 nucleotides) under uncultured bacterium. RNAcentral's name for it is "partial 16S ribosomal RNA". It matches the Rfam family "Bacterial small subunit ribosomal RNA", at positions 524 to 776 of the family's 1533-position model. The record is from RNAcentral.
UACAGAGGGUGCGAGCGUUAAUCGGAUUUACUGGGCGUAAAGGGCGCGUAGGCGGUUAUGUAAGUGAGAUGUGAAAUCCCUGGGCUUAACCUAGGAACUGCAUCUCAUACUGCGUAGCUAGAGUAUUGUAGAGGGUAGUGGAAUUUCCGGUGUAGCGGUGAAAUGCGUAGAGAUCGGAAGGAACACCAGUGGCGAAGGCGGCCGGCUGGGGGUGACCUGACGCUGAGGCGCGAAAGCGUGGGGAGCGAACCGG